CAGCAGCCGCGGUAAUACAGAGGAUGCAAGCGUUAUUCGGAAUGAUUGGGCAUAAAGCGUCUGUAGGUGGCUUUUCAAGUCAGUCGUCAAAUCCCUGGGCUCAACCCUGGACAAGCAGUGGAAACUACCAAGCUGGAGUAUAGUAGGGGCAGAGUGAAUUUCCGGUGGAGCGAUGAAAUGCGUUGAGAUCAGAAAGAACACCAACGGCGAAAGCACUCUGCUGGGCCGACACUGACACUGAGAGACGAAAGCUAGGGGAGCAAAUGGGAUUAGAUACCCGCGUAGUCCCUGUCUCUUAUAC
RNAcentral lists this ribosomal RNA (301 nucleotides) under uncultured bacterium. Its description in RNAcentral is "partial 16S ribosomal RNA". It matches the Rfam family "Bacterial small subunit ribosomal RNA", at positions 509 to 807 of the family's 1533-position model. The record is from RNAcentral.